RNAcentral lists this ribosomal RNA (407 nucleotides) under uncultured bacterium. RNAcentral's name for it is "bacterial SSU rRNA". It matches the Rfam family "Bacterial small subunit ribosomal RNA", at positions 355 to 776 of the family's 1533-position model. The record is from RNAcentral.
UUGGGAAUCUUAGGCAAUGGGCGAAAGCCUGACCUAGCGACGCCGCGUGAGGGAAGAAGGCCUUCGGGUCGUAAACCUCUGUCAUGGGGGACGAAGGAAGUGACGGUACCCCAAGAGGAAGCCCCUGCUAACUACGUGCCAGCAGCCGCGGUAAUACGUAGGGGGCGAGCGUUAUCCGGAAUUAUUGGGCGUAAAGGGCGAGUAGGCGGUCUGUUAAGUCAGGUGUGAAAUUUCAGGGCUCAACCCUGAAACUGCGCUUGAAACUGGCAGGCUAGAGGACAGGAGAGGGAAGUGGAAUUCCCGGUGUAGCGGUGGAAUGCGUAGAUAUCGGGAGGAACACCAGUGGCGAAGGCGGCUUCCUGGACUGUACCUGACGCUGAGGAGCGAAAGCUGGGGGAGCAAACAGG